This 473-nucleotide ribosomal RNA is filed under the name uncultured bacterium. Its description in RNAcentral is "SSU rRNA". It matches the Rfam family "Bacterial small subunit ribosomal RNA", at positions 26 to 518 of the family's 1533-position model. The record is from RNAcentral.
AGAGUGAACGCUGGCGGCAUGCCUAACACAUGCAAGUCGAACGGUAACAGGCCCGCAAGGGUGCUGACGAGUGGCGGACGGGUGAGGAAUACAUCGGAAUUUGCCCAGUCGUGGGGGAUAACGUAGGGAAACUUACGCUAAUACCGCAUACGACCGGAAGGUGAAAGCGGGGGAUCAGCAAUGACCUCGCGCGGAUGGAUAAGCCGAUGUCGGAUUAGCUAGUUGGCGGGGUAAGAGCCCACCAAGGCGACGAUCCGUAGCUGGUCUGAGAGGAUGAUCAGCCACACUGGGACUGAGACACGGCCCAGACUCCUACGGGAGGCAGCAGUGGGGAAUAUUGGACAAUGGGCGCAAGCCUGAUCCAGCCAUGCCGCGUGAGUGAUGAAGGCCCUAGGGUUGUAAAGCUCUUUGUGCGGGAAGAUAAUGACGGUACCGCAAGAAUAAGCCCCGGCUAACUUCGUGCCAGCAGCCGC